RNAcentral lists this ribosomal RNA (425 nucleotides) under uncultured bacterium. RNAcentral's name for it is "partial 16S ribosomal RNA". It matches the Rfam family "Bacterial small subunit ribosomal RNA", at positions 354 to 796 of the family's 1533-position model. The record is from RNAcentral.
GUGGGGAAUUUUGGACAAUGGGCGAAAGCCUGAUCCAGCAAUGCCGCGUGUGUGAAGAAGGCCUUAGGGUUGUAAAGCUCUUUCGUGGGGGAAGAUAAUGACUGUACCCCAAGAAGAAGCACCGGCUAACUACGUGCCAGCAGCCGCGGUAAUACGUAGGGUGCGAGCGUUAAUCGGAAUUACUGGGCGUAAAGCGUGCGCAGGCGGUGCUGUAAGACAGGCGUGAAAUCCCCGGGCUCAACCUGGGAAUUGCGCUUGUGACUGCAGUGCUGGAGUACGGCAGAGGGGGAUGGAAUUCCGCGUGUAGCAGUGAAAUGCGUAGAUAUGCGGAGGAACACCGAUGGCGAAGGCAGUCCCCUGGGCCUGUACUGACGCUCAUGCACGAAAGCGUGGGGAGCAAACAGGAUUAGAUACCCGAGUAGUCC